UUAAGUGGUUUUCCUUCCAGAACCUCUGCCCUGGGAAGGCAUCGCAGCCCCAGAAUUUGGUUAUGCAGGGCUGA
RNAcentral lists this small RNA (74 nucleotides) under Marmota monax (woodchuck). Lineage: Eukaryota; Metazoa; Chordata; Mammalia; Rodentia; Sciuridae. The record is from RNAcentral.